RNAcentral lists this ribosomal RNA (497 nucleotides) under uncultured bacterium. RNAcentral describes it as "partial 16S ribosomal RNA". It matches the Rfam family "Bacterial small subunit ribosomal RNA", at positions 28 to 507 of the family's 1533-position model. The record is from RNAcentral.
GAUGAACGCUGGCGGCGUGCCUAAUACAUGCAAGUCGAACGAACGGACGAGGAGCUUGCGGGUCGGAUGUUAGCGGCGGAGGGGUGAAUCACAUGUGUAAAACCUACCUAUCAGACGGGGAUAACCACGGGAAACCGGAGCUAAUACCGGAUGAUAUUUUGCACCGCGGGGGGCGAAAGUAAGAUACGGUCGUGCGGGCUGUAAUAGCUGGAUCUGCGCUGCAUUCGCUGGUUGGUAAGGUAACGGGUUACCAAGGCAAGGAUGGAUAGGCGACCGGAGUGAGUGAUCGCCCACACUGGAAGUGAGACAGGGACCAGACUCCUGCGGGAGGCAGCAGUCGGGAAUCUUCCGCAACGGGCGAGAGCAUUACGGAGCAACGCGGCGUGAGUGAUGAAGGUGCUGGGAUCGUAAAGCUGUGUUAUUAGUGAAGAACCUAUGUGUCAGUAACUGUGCACAUAUUGACGGUACCUGGUAAGAAAGCACCGGCUAACUACGUG